CACCGCGGUUAGACGAGAGGCUUAAAUUGAUAAUUAUCGGCGUAAAGCGUGGUUAAGAAUAAUACAUACUAAAGUCGAAUCAUUUCUAAGCUGUUAUACGCACUCGAAAGUAGGAAGAACUAUUACGAAAGUAACUUUAAUACAUCUGACUCCACGAAAGCUGUGAAA
This 168-nucleotide ribosomal RNA is filed under the name Dermogenys pusilla (wrestling halfbeak). RNAcentral's name for it is "partial 12S rRNA". The record is from RNAcentral. Lineage: Eukaryota; Metazoa; Chordata; Actinopteri; Beloniformes; Zenarchopteridae.